GUCCACGCUGUAAACGAUGGGCACUAGGCGUCGGGGAGCGACCCUCCCGGUGCCGUCGCUAACGCAAUAAGUGCCCCGCCUGGGGAGUACGGCCGCAAGGUUGAAACUCAAAGGAAUUGACGGGGCCCGCACAAGCGGUGGAGCAUGUGGUUUAAAUUCGAUGCAACGCGAAGAACCUUACCUGGGCUUGACAUGCACGUGAAAAGCCGGUGGAAAACACCGGACCUCCUUCGGGACACGUGCACAGGUGCUGCAAUGGCUGUCGU
This 266-nucleotide ribosomal RNA is filed under the name uncultured bacterium. RNAcentral describes it as "partial 16S ribosomal RNA". It matches the Rfam family "Bacterial small subunit ribosomal RNA", at positions 793 to 1055 of the family's 1533-position model. The record is from RNAcentral.